Molecule: unclassified non-coding RNA, 224 nt
Filed under: plant metagenome
Description: partial contains small subunit ribosomal RNA, internal transcribed spacer 1, and 5.8S ribosomal RNA
Source: RNAcentral
UCUCCGUUGGUGAAUCAGCGGAGGGAUCAUUACAGGACUCGCAAGACUCCUACAACCCUGUGAACUUAACUAUAAGCACGUUGCUUCGGCGGGUGUCUCGGAGGGGGUUCUCCCUCCCCGAGACGCUAAACCCGCCGGCAGCCUACUAUACUCUGUCUCUUUGCGUUGGCAUCUCGAGUACAAUCAAACAAGUUAAAACUUUCAACAACGGAUCUCUUGGUUCU